CGGAGGAUGCGAGCGUUAUUCGGAAUCAUUGGGUUUAAAGGGUCUGUAGGCGGGCUAUUAAGUCAGGGGUGAAGGUUUCAGCUUAACUGAGAAUUGCCUUUGAUACUGGUAGUCUUGAAUAUCUGUGAAGUUCUUGGAAUGUGUAGUGUAGCGGUGAAAUGCUUAGAUAUUACACAGAACACCGAUUGCGAAGGCAGGGGACUAACAGACAAUUGACGCUGAGAGACGAAAGCGUGGGGGAGCGAACAGGAUU
RNAcentral lists this ribosomal RNA (253 nucleotides) under uncultured bacterium. RNAcentral's name for it is "partial 16S ribosomal RNA". It matches the Rfam family "Bacterial small subunit ribosomal RNA", at positions 526 to 779 of the family's 1533-position model. The record is from RNAcentral.